CAGCCGCCGCGGUAAUACGUAGGUGGCAAGCGUUGUCCGGAAUUAUUGGGCGUAAAGGGCUCGCAGGCGGUUUCUUAAGUCAGAUGUGAAAGCCCCCGGCUCAACCGGGGAGGGUUAUUGGAAACUGGGAAACUUGAGUGCAGAAGAGGAGAGUGGAAUUCCACGUGUAGCGGUGAAAUGCGUAGAGAUGUGGAGGAACACCAGUGGCGAAGGCGACUCUCUGGUCUGUAACUGACGCUGAGGAGCGAAAGCGUGGGGAGCGAACAGGAUUAGAUACCCCCGUAGUCCCUGUCUCUUAUAC
RNAcentral lists this ribosomal RNA (301 nucleotides) under uncultured bacterium. RNAcentral's name for it is "partial 16S ribosomal RNA". It matches the Rfam family "Bacterial small subunit ribosomal RNA", at positions 509 to 807 of the family's 1533-position model. The record is from RNAcentral.